CUUUUAAAGGGUAGCAGUCAUCCACUGGCUUUAGGCGCC
This 39-nucleotide transfer RNA is filed under the name Gerrhonotus liocephalus. RNAcentral describes it as "partial tRNA-Leu". The record is from RNAcentral. Lineage: Eukaryota; Metazoa; Chordata; Lepidosauria; Squamata; Anguidae.